UACGUAGGGGGCAAGCGUUGUCCGGAAUCAUUGGGCGUAAAGCGCGUGUAGGCGGCCCGGUAAGUCCGCUGUGAAAGUCCAGGGCUCAACCCUGGGAUGCCGGUGGAUACUGUCGGGCUCGAGUCCGGAAGAGGAGUGUGGAAUUCCUGGUGUAGCGGUGAAAUGCGCAGAUAUCAGGAGGAACACCGGUGGCGAAGGCGCCACUCUGGGCCGAAACUGACGCUGAGGAGCGAAAGCGUGGGUAGCAAACAGG
Molecule: ribosomal RNA, 253 nt
Filed under: uncultured bacterium
Lineage: Bacteria
Description: partial 16S ribosomal RNA
Rfam family: Bacterial small subunit ribosomal RNA
Source: RNAcentral